AAACCAACAGGGAUUGCCCCAGUAACGGCGAGUGAAGCGGCAACAGCUCAGAUUUGGAAUCUGGCCCCCUCCCGGGGGCCCGAGUUGUAAUCUGGAGAGGAUGCUUCUGGCGCGGCGCCUGGCGAGUUCCCUGGAACGGGACGCCGGAGAGGGUGAGAGCCCCGUACUCCAGGACGCCCAGCCUCUGCGAAGCUCCUUCGACGAGUCGAGUAGUUUGGGAAUGCUGCUCUAAAUGGGAGGUAAAUUUCUUCUAAAGCUAAAUACCGGCCAGAGACCGAUAGCGCACAAGUAGAGUGAUCGAAAGAUGAAAAGCACUUUGAAAAGAGGGUCAAACAGUACGUGAAAUUGUUGAAAGGGAAGCGCCCGUGGCCAGACUUGCGCCUCGCGGCCCACCCGGCGGACCCCGCCGGGGCACGCCGCGGGGCGCAGGCCAGCAUCGGCUCUCCUAGGGGGAAAAGGACGGCGGGAACGUGGCUCCUCCGGGAGUGUUAUAGCCCGCCGCGCCAUGCCCCUGGGGGGGCCGAGGACCGCGCUUCGGCAAGGAUGCUGGCGUAAUGGCCACCGGCGAC
RNAcentral lists this ribosomal RNA (569 nucleotides) under Raffaelea sp. Its description in RNAcentral is "partial large subunit ribosomal RNA". It matches the Rfam family "Eukaryotic large subunit ribosomal RNA", at positions 62 to 648 of the family's 3401-position model. The record is from RNAcentral. Lineage: Eukaryota; Fungi; Ascomycota; Sordariomycetes; Ophiostomatales; Ophiostomataceae.